AGAGUUUGAUCCUGGCUCAGGACGAACGCUGGCGGCAUGCCUAACACAUGCAAGUCGAGCGAGUAGAUUCCCUUCGGGGAUGAAGCUAGCGGCGGACGGGUGAGUAACACGUGGGCAACCUGCCUCAUAGAGGGGAAUAGCCUUCCGAAAGGGAGAUUAAUACCGCAUAAGAUUGUAGCUUCGCAUGAAGUAGCAAUUAAAGGAGCAAUCCGCUAUGAGAUGGGCCCGCGGCGCAUUAGCUAGUUGGUGAGGUAACGGCUCACCAAGGCGACGAUGCGUAGCCGACCUGAGAGGGUGAUCGGCCACAUUGGGACUGAGACACGGCCCAGACUCCUACGGGAGGCAGCAGUGGGGAAUAUUGCACAAUGGGGGAAACCCUGAUGCAGCAAUGCCACGUGAGUGAUGACGGCCUUCGGGUUGUAAAGCUCUGUCUUCGGGGACGAUAAUGACGGUACCCGAGGAGGAAGCCACGGCUAACUACGUGCCAGCAGCCGCGGUAAUACGUAGGUGGCAAGCGUUGUCCGGAUUUACUGGGCGUAAAGGGAGCGUAGGUGGACUUUUAAGUGAGAUGUGAAAUACCCGAGCUCAACUUGGGUGCUGCAUUUCAAACUGGAAGUCUAGAGUGCAGGAGAGGAAAGCGGAAUUCCUAGUGUAGCGGUGA
This 661-nucleotide ribosomal RNA is filed under the name uncultured Bacillota bacterium. RNAcentral's name for it is "bacterial SSU rRNA". It matches the Rfam family "Bacterial small subunit ribosomal RNA", at positions 8 to 684 of the family's 1533-position model. The record is from RNAcentral. Lineage: Bacteria; Bacillati; Bacillota.